RNAcentral lists this ribosomal RNA (253 nucleotides) under uncultured bacterium. Its description in RNAcentral is "partial 16S ribosomal RNA". It matches the Rfam family "Bacterial small subunit ribosomal RNA", at positions 524 to 776 of the family's 1533-position model. The record is from RNAcentral.
UACAGAGGGGGCAAGCGUUAUUCGGAAUUAUUGGGCGUAAAGGGCGCGUAGGCGGCCUGGCAAGUGGAAGGUGAAAUCCCUCGGCUUAACCGAGGAACUGCCCUCCAAACUGCUUGGCUUGAGACCGGGAGAGGUGAGUGGAAUUCCCAGUGUAGCGGUGAAAUGCGUAGAUAUUGGGAGGAACACCAGUGGCGAAGGCGGCUCACUGGACCGGUACUGACGCUGGGGCGCGAAAGCGUGGGGAGCAAACGGG